AGCAUAGCUGUGCAGGUACUCUGCAGAUGUGCUUAAUUAACUAAGAAAGGAUUCUGGCUAUCUCAGAGAGAUUCCUUUCCUCUUUCUCAGUCACUCAGUGCAACAUGGGAGUGCCACUGAACACAAUGCAACUUACCUGGAAGUAACUGAACAAUAGGAUUUACCUCCAAAUAGACAGGCACACAUCCUAUAAUAUGGCACUGAGAGAUGAGCCGAGCUUAUGCUGAUGCCAUGAGACCCAAGAGACAUUGAAUGAGUUGAGCCAGCUGAGAAGGAUGUUGUUGGAAUUCGUGCAUCAGAUCCCUGAUGCUCUUUGGAAGUCAUGUGAUGGCGUCCAAAUUUCAUUGAAGUGGCGCAGUCAAUGACCACUGAGUUAAGAGCAAGGUGUUUUAGCAGGCUUAGUGCUUCAAAGAACUAAUAUAAAGCAGGAAUUAAUGUACUUGUCAGAUCCAGGCAGCAAAUCAACAGUGGGAUCCAGAAGUGUUUUAUAAAUAAUGGUGAUGCCAUCUUUUUCAGCUGCAGUCACUCUAUCAAAGGUCAAACUCAGAACAGGAUUUAAAGGAGACCUGAAAAAUGGAAACAUCAUCAAAUAUGACAUUUGGGGGGCGGGGGAGAGAUCAAACAGUUGCAAAACCAGUAAUUAUUUGUAUAUAAAGUAGUGAACAUAAGAAAUGAAGUUGUUAAGAAUGAAUUCAGGAAUGAGACAUUCAAAUCUAUACAGAAUUCUGUUUGCUGGUAAGAAAAUUAGUAUCUAGCAGCGAGUGCCUUGUUGCAGUUCAGGUAUUUUCACCUUGGGAAUUAAUUCUCACCACAGCUAGCUUGUCAACUUUAUUAACUUAUAAGUUAUGGACAGCAAGGAAAUUGAAUUAUUCCUGAAAUACUGGCUCAUCUCCAAGCAGAAUGGUUGAGAAACAAAGAAACAGAACUAUAAUCAGCUUCCAUGUGAUCAUCUACAAAAGAACAAAUUCAAUUGCAAGUUAAGCGAAGAAUAACUACGGGCAUGUUCCCACAUAUGCUGUGAAUGACAGAGCUAAAGACAGAAAAUAAGAAUUCUUCCUUUCGGAAGCAGAAAGCUUGGUAGGAGAAUUCUGUUUCAGUAUCACUCCUGCAACGCUACAGAUCCUACUUACCUCCUCAGCCUCACACCACCAUUCAUUGCAGCACAGACAGGCUGAGCAGAGCGUGUGGUAGAAUCUGUGAGGGUCAGAUGUGUCAGAUAAGAUUCAAUGCAACUCUAACUUUUAGUUUUCCACCAACACAAGCAU
Hemicordylus capensis (graceful crag lizard) is the source of this 1265-nucleotide long non-coding RNA. RefSeq lists it as uncharacterized. The record is from RefSeq and is a predicted model, not a curated record. NCBI's taxonomy places the organism in Eukaryota, Metazoa, Chordata, Lepidosauria, Squamata, Cordylidae. The transcript has 5 exons.